RNAcentral lists this ribosomal RNA (253 nucleotides) under uncultured bacterium. RNAcentral's name for it is "partial 16S ribosomal RNA". It matches the Rfam family "Bacterial small subunit ribosomal RNA", at positions 524 to 776 of the family's 1533-position model. The record is from RNAcentral.
UACGGAGGGGGCUAGCGUUGUUCGGAAUUACUGGGCGUAAAGCGCACGUAGGCUGCUUGGAAAGUUGGAGGUGAAAGCCCGGAGCUCAACUCCGGAAUUGCCUUCAAAACUCCCGAGCUAGAGUUUGGAAGAGGAGAGUGGAAUUCCCAGUGUAGAGGUGAAAUUCGUAGAUAUUGGGAAGAACACCAGAGGCGAAGGCGGCUCUCUGGUCCAAAACUGACGCUGAGGUGCGAAAGCGUGGGGAGCAAACAGG